This 182-nucleotide non-coding RNA is filed under the name Opitutaceae bacterium. Its description in RNAcentral is "6S RNA". It matches the Rfam family "6S / SsrS RNA". From Rfam's summary of the family: E. coli 6S RNA was the first non coding RNA to be sequenced, but its function was unknown until recently. It consists of 184 nucleotides that fold into an extended hairpin structure with a large single-stranded internal bulge. The record is from RNAcentral. Lineage: Bacteria; Pseudomonadati; Verrucomicrobiota; Opitutia; Opitutales; Opitutaceae.
GACACCCUGUAGUGUUCGAGGUGCUCUAAUAACCGCUCUUUGCCUUUGCUAUAAUUUGGGAGCCGCCGACAGGCGGGCUGAUGCCAGGCCGUAAACCGGAAGGCAGACGUUCGUCGGGUGGUGCCCACCUUUAACUUAAAAAGGACAUGAGCCUUUGGGUACACGGCACCGGCGGGGUGUCA